This 294-nucleotide ribosomal RNA is filed under the name uncultured bacterium. RNAcentral's name for it is "partial 16S ribosomal RNA". The record is from RNAcentral.
GGACUACACGGGUAUCUAAUCCCGUUUGCUCCCCAAGCUUUCGUACCUCAGCGUCAGGACGAGCCCAGGCAGUCGCUUUCGCCACUGGUGUUCCUCCCAAUAUCUACGCAUUUCACCGCUACACUGGGAAUUCCACUGCCCUCUGCUGUCCUCCAGAGUCUGGCAGUUUUGGGUGCCACAGCGAGGUUGAGCCUCGCGCUUUCACAUCCAACUUACCAAACCGCCUACGUACGCUUUACGCCCAGUAAUUCCGAACAACGCUCGCAUCCUACGUCUUACCGCGGCUGCUGGCAC